CAGGCUUAACACAUGCAAGUCGAGGGGCAGCAUUUUAGUUUGCUUGCAAACUGAAGAUGGCGACCGGCGCACGGGUGAGUAGCACGUAUCCAACCUGCCGAUAACUCCGGAAUAGCCUUUCGAAAGAAAGAUUAAUACCGGAUGGCAUACGAAUAUCGCAUGAUAUUUUUAUUAAAGAAUUUCGGUUAUCGAUGGGGAUGCGUUCCAUUAGUUUGUUGGCGGGGUAACGGCCCACCAAGACUACGAUGGAUAGGGGUUCUGAGAGGAAGGUCCCCCACAUUGGAACUGAGACACGGUCCAAACUCCUACGGGAGGCAGCAGUGAGGAAUAUUGGUCAAUGGGCGCGAGCCUGAACCAGCCAAGUAGCGUGAAGGAUGAAGGCUCUAUGGGUCGUAAACUUCUUUUAUAUGGGAAUAAAGUUUUCCACGUGUGGAAUUUUGUAUGUACCAUAUGAAUAAGGAUCGGCUAACUCCGUGCCAGCAGCCGCGGUAAUACGGAGGAUCCGAGCGUUAUCCGGAUUUAUUGGGUUUAAAGGGAGCGUAGGUGGAUUGUUAAGUCAGUUGUGAAAGUUUGCGGCUCAACCGUAAAAUUGCAGUUGAAACUGGCAGUCUUGAGUACAGUAGAGGUGGGCGGAAUUCGUGGUGUAGCGGUGAAAUGCUUAGAUAUCACGAAGAACUCCGAUUGCGAAGGCAGCUCACUAGACUGUCACUGACACUGAUGCUCGAAAGUGUGGGUAUCAAACAGGAUUAGAUACCCUGGUAGUCCACACAGUAAACGAUGAAUACUCGCUGUUUGCGAUAUACAGUAAGCGGCCAAGCGAAAGCAUUAAGUAUUCCACCUGGGGAGUACGCCGGCAACGGUGAAACUCAAAGGAAUUGACGGGGGCCCGCACAAGCGGAGGAACAUGUGGUUUAAUUCGAUGAUACGCGAGGAACCUUACCCGGGCUUAAAUUGCAACAGAAUAUAUUGGAAACAGUAUAGCCGUAAGGCUGUUGUGAAGGUGCUGCAUGGUUGUCGUCAGCUCGUGCCGUGAGGUGUCGGCUUAAGUGCCAUAACGAGCGCAACCCUUAUCUUUAGUUACUAACAGGUCAUGCUGAGGACUCUAGAGAGACUGCCGUCGUAAGAUGUGAGGAAGGUGGGGAUGACGUCAAAUCAGCACGGCCCUUACGUCCGGGGCUACACACGUGUUACAAUGGGGGGUACAGAAGGCGGCUACCUGGUGACAGGAUGCUAAUCCCAAAAACCUCUCUCAGUUCGGAUCGAAGUCUGCAACCCGACUUCGUGAAGCUGGAUUCGCUAGUAAUCGCGCAUCAGCCAUGGCGCGGUGAAUACGUUCCCGGGCCUUGUACACACCGCCCGUCAAGCCAUGAAAGCCGGGGGUACCUGAAGUACGUAACCGCAAGGAGCGUCCUAGGGUAAAACUGGUAAUUG
RNAcentral lists this ribosomal RNA (1431 nucleotides) under uncultured organism. Its description in RNAcentral is "16S ribosomal RNA". It matches the Rfam family "Bacterial small subunit ribosomal RNA". The record is from RNAcentral.